AUACGGAGGGUGCAAGCGUUACUCGGAAUCACUGGGCGUAAAGCGCGCGCAGGCGGUCUUUUAAGUUGGAUGUGAAAGCCUACGGCUCAACCGUAGAACUGCAUCCAAAACUAUUAGACUAGAGUGUGGGAGAGGAAGAUGGAAUUAGUUGUGUAGGGGUAAAAUCCGUAGAGAUAACUAGGAAUACCAAAAGCGAAGGCAAUCUUCUGGAACACUACUGACGCUGAGGCGCGAAAGCGUGCGGAGCAAACAGGAUUAGAUACCCGAGUAGUCC
Molecule: ribosomal RNA, 274 nt
Filed under: uncultured bacterium
Lineage: Bacteria
Description: partial 16S ribosomal RNA
Rfam family: Bacterial small subunit ribosomal RNA
Source: RNAcentral